CCUACGGGGGGCAGCAGUGAGGAAUAUUGGUCAAUGGCCGGAAGGCUGAACCAGCCAUGCCGCGUGAAGGUCAGUGCCCUAUGGGCGUUAAACUUCUUUUGUGCGGGAGCAAUCAUGGUCACGUGUGGCCAGACGAGAGUACCGUACGAAUAAGCAUCGGCUAACUCCGUGCCAGAAGCCGCGGUAAUACGGGGGAUGCAAGCGUUAUCCGGAUUUAUUGGGUUUAAAGGUUGCGUAGGCUGGGAGGUAAGUCAGCGGGGAAAUGCCCCCGCUCAACGGGGUGAAGUGCCAUUGAUCCUGCCUUGCUGGAAUGCGGAUGCAGUGGGAGGAAUGUGUGGUGUAGCGGUGAAAUGCAUAGAGAUCACACAGAACACCGAUUGCGAAGGCAUCUCACGAAUCCGCGAUUGACGCUGAGGCACGAAAGCGUGGGGAUCAAACAGGAUUAGAUACCCUAGUAGUC
RNAcentral lists this ribosomal RNA (460 nucleotides) under uncultured bacterium. RNAcentral describes it as "partial 16S ribosomal RNA". It matches the Rfam family "Bacterial small subunit ribosomal RNA", at positions 338 to 795 of the family's 1533-position model. The record is from RNAcentral.